GUCCUAUUUCUUCCACUGCCUCAUCUGCAGAUCUUGUUUUGUGUCAACAUUGUAUAGGUGAGGAAUUGGAGAGACUCACCCCUUCUUGGUGGUAAGAUUUCCUGUCCUGCCCCUGACUUAAUAGCCCCACCAGUUGGAGCUUGAGGGUUUAACAUGUGCCAAGUUCCUGCGGUGGGAGGCAGUUAGUUUAGAGGGCAAGCUGUUUGUGCUAUUUAAUAAGAUUGGAGAGGCUGGUGGGAGCGACUCUUCAGCAGCUGAAAGCCAAAGAAAAGAAUUGGUAUAUCCCAAGAGCAAUGAGAAAUCAAAUAAACAACUUCAGGUUCUCACAACCGUCACUCCUGUCCGACGCCUCGUUCCUGUACAACAUGGAGCCCAUGGGCCUUGAGGGUCCCUGAGCGCUCUGCCAGUGGCCUCUGCUGGGUUCCCUAGCGCUGCUGCUACAGCCGGUAACCUGUGCCCAAGCCACACCGGGCACCCUCAGCACCACGACCACACCAGACACCACUGGCUCUGAGACCACACUUCCAGGGUCCUGGGGCUACGAGAACGUGCUCGGGCCCUGAUGCGGGACUUCCCACUGGUGGGUGUGUAGGUGUCAUGUGGGGACAAAUGGGGGUUCCAAUGGGCAGAAGAGGGUUCCAAGCAUGCAGGGCUAUCAUGUAAGACCGAGGGCCUUACCAAACGCUCCGAGGAGCUGACUGCAGCGAAGAACACCCGGGGAUCCCAGCGGGGCCUAGGGGCCUCCAAAAUGUAAGACCGAGGGCCUUACCAAACGCUCCGAGGAGCUGACUGCAGCGAAGAACACCCGGGAAGGAACACACUGAACAUGUUGGAAAGUAAAACAGACCUUAGUCUGGCCAGGACGGCACUCCCAAAGCAAAGUAGCUUAGAGAGGCGACUAGCCCAGAGUCCGAGGCUCUUUUUAUAGGGGGUUGCAGGGGAAGUUAACAGGCGAAAUUUACAGAAGAGAAACAAAG
RNAcentral lists this long non-coding RNA (977 nucleotides) under Heterocephalus glaber (naked mole-rat). RNAcentral describes it as "lncRNA (ENSHGLG00100048420.1)". Lineage: Eukaryota; Metazoa; Chordata; Mammalia; Rodentia; Bathyergidae. The record is from RNAcentral.